RNAcentral lists this ribosomal RNA (301 nucleotides) under uncultured bacterium. Its description in RNAcentral is "partial 16S ribosomal RNA". It matches the Rfam family "Bacterial small subunit ribosomal RNA", at positions 509 to 809 of the family's 1533-position model. The record is from RNAcentral.
CAGUAGCCGCGGUAAUACGGAGGGUGCAAGCGUUAAUCGGAAUUACUGGGCGUAAAGCGCACGCAGGCGGUCUGACAAGUCAGAUGUGAAAUCCCCGGGCUUAACCUGGGAACUGCAUUUGAAACUGUCAGGCUGGAGUCUUGUAGAGGGGGGUGGAAUUCCAGGUGUAGCGGUGAAAUGCGUAGAGAUCUGGAGGAAUACCGGUGGCGAAGGCGGCCCCCUGGACAAAGACUGACGCUCAGGUGCGAAAGCGUGGGGAGCAAACAGGAUUAGAUACCCCUGUAGUCCCUGUCUCUUAUAU